CCUACGGGGGGCUGCAGUAAGGAAUAUUGGACAAUGGCCGCAAGGCUGAUCCAGCCAUGCCGCGUGAAGGAUGAAGGUGCUAUGCAUUGUAAACUUCUUUUGUCCCGGAAUAAACCCCUGAUUUCUAUCGGGGCUGAAUGUACGGGAAGAAUAAGGGACGGCUAACUUCGUGCCAGCAGCCGCGGUAAUACGAAGGUCCCAAGCGUUAUCCGGAUUUAUUGGGUUUAAAGGGUGCGUAGGCGGGUUGUUAAGUCAGUGGUGAAAGCCUACAGCUCAACUGUAGAAUUGCCAUUGAUACUGACGAUCUUGAGUAUGGUUGAGGAGGGCGGAAUGUGUCAUGUAGCGGUGAAAUGCUUAGAUAUGACACAGAACACCGAUUGCGAAGGCAGCUCUCUAAGCCAAUACUGACGCUGAUGCACGAAAGCGUGGGGAGCAAACAGGAUUAGAUACCCCUGUAGUC
This 460-nucleotide ribosomal RNA is filed under the name uncultured Bacteroidota bacterium. RNAcentral's name for it is "bacterial SSU rRNA". It matches the Rfam family "Bacterial small subunit ribosomal RNA", at positions 338 to 795 of the family's 1533-position model. Lineage: Bacteria; Pseudomonadati; Bacteroidota. The record is from RNAcentral.